Triticum dicoccoides is the source of this 2409-nucleotide long non-coding RNA. RefSeq lists it as uncharacterized. NCBI's taxonomy places the organism in Eukaryota, Viridiplantae, Streptophyta, Magnoliopsida, Poales, Poaceae. The record is from RefSeq and is a predicted model, not a curated record. The transcript is spliced from 4 exons.
UCCUUCUUCUAUUCCCAGCAUCACUCGCCCUUCCUCUUGCCGUCUGCGACCCCAACACGCCGCGGCGCGCCGCGCCCUCCCCAAGGGAGAGGAGCCUAAGCCCAUCUAGAUGUAGUAGCCCAACCCAACAAAUGACGAGGUUCUUCAUCGAGCGAAGCGACUGGGAGCGAUCGAUCCAAAUCAAUCAAUUUGGUCGUUCCCCAACCCCCCACUACUGCCAAGCCCUAGCGCCGCCGCCGGGCGCCUCCUCCAAAUCAUGUGCAUCUCUUGCAACUCCUAUUGCCGGUGUUAAUCGUCUACAUACCCGGGCAUAUUCACCGUCGUUCUGGACCGAGCACCGUUGUUGUUCCAUAGGAGGCGAUGGAAGGGUGUGGGGAUGCUGCAUCAACAGAAGAUAUUUUUUCCAUGCCAUUCGACAUAGGAGAAGUGAUGGACCUAGAUGACCCAAUGGACACGAGACCACGGUGCUCGAUGGUGAGCCGGACAAAUCCAGCGGUGGUGCCGACUGCCGAGGAUUGCCGAGGAUGCACGUGAGGUACGCUAGUGAGGUUGUUGGAGCAGAACAAUGGCAACAGCUCAGCUGGCUUUUCUGGCUACAAGGAGGUAAUCCAAAGAAAUAUAUGUCCCAGCCAAUUUCUUUUUCCCUUAUCCUGUACUGAUCAUCUAUGUACGUGUGCAUAAAACAGAACUGGUGUAUGUAAGGAUAGUUCUUGUCAGUGUUAAUCAGUAGUUCAGUACCACUCUUCUUCCAUGUGUUUUAAUCAUCUCUGUAGUCUGUAUUUGUGCACAAAACGGAACCUCAGCCAAUUGUGUGUUUAGUUUAUCAUGUACAACUUGCAGAUGUACUAAUCAUCUUUCUACAUGUGCAUAAAACUGAAACCAUGGGCCUAAGCCGAUCCAAAUCAAUCGAUUUAUGUCUUUUCAUUUUUUUUUAAUAAUUGAAUUCCAUAAGUUUUGGUGAGUAGACUUACAUUUUGUUAAAAAAAAUAGACCUUAAAUGUUCGCCCUGCCAGAUGUAAAUUGCUACAUUCAGAUUCCCUGUUGUGAUGUUGCUGAAUCUUCUGUUAUGCAUCAUAUAUCUAAUACUAUGUUGGAAAUAAAAAAUCCUUUCCCAGCUGUAAUUUCCUUCCAUAUAUGUUUAUUUCGAAAAUGUAUCCAUGUUUUGUUAAUUAGUAAGAAGAUUCCAAUCGCCGGAUGCAAAGGCCAGGGUUUUCUCCUUCCCAAAACAAAGAUUCUUAAGUGAGGACUCACGAGAACUAUCUUUUGUUCCCCUACCUUCCAUUAUUGAUUUAUCUGUGGAAGUUCCGACAAGCAAGAACCUUAUUUGUAUUUAUCGUGCUUUGAUCAUGCAUUUUUUGAUCGAUAAUUAAACCAGUAAGGUUUUCAUGAAUGCAUCUUCGUGGUUUUUGCACAGCUAUCCCCUCUAGAUAGAUAGCACAUUGAAUAACAAUGGUGGGAACUCUAAACAUUUGUGUAUGUCAACCAAAGACGUAAACACAAAAGAAGUUUGCGAUCCUUAUAUGAUUUCGGUUGACUUUUGUGCAACUGAUUCAUGCUAAACAAUUGGGAUGUCAUUUUGGUGAUCUUGUUGAAGAUUUGGUUGGAAAAGCAAGACGACAUUUUGCUUGUAGAGUCUAUCCUUUGGUUGGAGCUGUACGACCAAAAAUUUCAAGGCUUAUUGGAUUAUUGGAAGAACUUGUGUUGUCAAUGUUAUAGUGUCGCGUAUUUGAUUUUUGUAGGCACCAAAUUGGAAUCCCUGGGGCUGCUUUAAAUCUGCUUUUGAUUCGUUUUUCCCUAGUGAUGUGAUACCGUUUACACUUUUGUAGGCACCAAAUUGGAGCCGUUGUGUCUCCUGUUUUCAAACCUGUCUUAGUGAGCCAAGUCAAUCUGGCAUUGUGCAUUUGCAGAUGUUCCAAGAAUUCAAUUACUCAAGCAUGGCAAGUAGUGAAAAGAUUGGAGGAGCCAGUAAAUUUGAAGUUAGCGAGGAUGGAGUAACAGAUGCACUUAAUGCCCAAUAAAGCUACUAUUGAAGAGGGUAUCGUGCCAGGAUGUGGUGGUGUUACCCUUCUAUAUGCAUCAAAGGCUUUCGAUAGAUUGUGUCCUCCUGACAAAGGGUAUUUUAGAGGUUGCAGAUGACCCCUUCGAGAACCCAUGUAAAUGCCAACAUUGUUCACUCUUAACCAAUGUCAACUAGCUACCAACAAUAUUUAUCUAUGCUAUAUGCAGCCAAAUAGAUGUUUGUUUUGUUAGAUAGGUGUGCAGUAGGAAGAGUGUGGAUCGGAACUACUAUUCUAACUUUUUGACUCAGAACUUCUAAAUUUGUUUUCCUUUUAUGCACUACCUAAGAUGUACUAUCAGUAUUAUUCUUGGUUGGUCAUGUUUAAAUAUUUGUGUGAUGUUUUUUCCCUA